UCUUUCAUGUGUUUUUUAUUAGUAUAAUAAUAUUGCAGCAUAUAUGUCAUGUUGCAGCGCUGUUAACCUCCGUGUGAGGGAGUGCAAAAAGUACAGGAGAAGUAAAAGGGGAACAGGGAAGGGGUUGUUAAACGGGAAGCGGGGGACAAACAGAUUAAACCCUGUGUUCCACCCGUAAACAUGAGUGUAAGUGUUAAGAGGUUCCGCCUUUAGUGCGCAGUACGCAUUACACUCCGCCUGGGAGUACGCCGCAAGGCUGAAACUCAAAGAAUUGACGGGGGCCCGCACAAGCGGUGGAGCAUGUGGUUUAAUUCGAAGCAACGCGAAGAACCUUACCAGUUCUUGACAUCCUCUGACACUCCUAGAGAUAGAACGUUCCCCUUCGGGGGACAGAGUGACAGGUGGUGCAUGGUGUCGUCAGCUCGUGUCGUGAGAUGUUGGGUUAAGUCCCGCAACGAGCGCAACCCUUGAUCUUAGUUGCCAGCAUUCAGUUGGGCACUCUAAGGUGACUGCCGGUGACAAACCGGAGGAAGGUGGGGAUGACGUCAAAUCAUCAUGCCCCUUAUGACCUGGGCUACACACGUGCUACAAUGGAUGGUACAAAGGGCUGCAAGACCGCCGACGGUUUAGCCAUAUCCCAUAAUAUACCACUUCUCUAGUUCGGUAUUGCAGGCUGCUAUACUUCGCCCUGCUAUGUAAGCCGGUAAUCGUCUAGUUAUAUCGUCGGUAUCAGCUAUGCCGCCGGUGAAUACGUUCCCCGGGCCUUGUACACACCCGCCCUGUCACACCAUCGAGAUGUUUAACCACCCAGGUCGUGGGAACCCUACAUAGCCCCGGUGAUGUGAACUGUG
RNAcentral lists this ribosomal RNA (851 nucleotides) under bacterium G12-21B. RNAcentral describes it as "bacterial SSU rRNA". It matches the Rfam family "Bacterial small subunit ribosomal RNA", at positions 432 to 1473 of the family's 1533-position model. The record is from RNAcentral.